This 864-nucleotide ribosomal RNA is filed under the name uncultured fungus. RNAcentral describes it as "SSU rRNA". It matches the Rfam family "Eukaryotic small subunit ribosomal RNA", at positions 564 to 1456 of the family's 1831-position model. Lineage: Eukaryota; Fungi. The record is from RNAcentral.
GUGCCAGCAGCCGCGGUAAUUCCAGCUCCAAUAGCGUAUAUUAAAGUUGUUGUGGUUAAAAAGCUCGUAGCUGAACCUUGGGCCUGGCUGGCCGGUCCGCCUCACCGCGUGCACUGGUCCGGCCGGGCCUUUCCCUCUGUGGAACCCCAUACCCUUCACUGGGCGUGGCGGGGAAACAGGACAUUUACUUUGAAAAAAUUAGAGUGCUCCAGGCAGGCCUAUGCUCGAAUACAUUAGCAUGGAAUAAUAAAAUAGGACGCGCGGUUCUAUUUUGUUGGUUUAUAGGACCGCCGUAAUGAUUAAUAGGGACAGUCGGGGGCAUCAGUAUUCAACUGUCAGAGGUGAAAUUCUUGGAUCAGUUGAAGACUAACUACUGCGAAAGCAUUUGCCAAGGAUGUUUUCAUUAAUCAGGAACGAAAGUUAGGGGAUCGAAGACGAUCAGAUACCGUCGUAGUCUUAACCAUAAACUAUGCCGACUAGGGAUCGGACGGUGUUAUUCAUGACCCGUUCGGCACCUUACGAGAAAUCAAAGUGCUUGGGCUCCAGGGGGAGUAUGGUCGCAAGGCUGAAACUUAAAGAAAUUGACGGAAGGGCACCACCAGGGGUGGAGCCUGCGGCUUAAUUUGACUCAACACGGGGAAACUCACCAGGUCCAGACACAAUAAGGAUUGACAGAUUGAGAGCUCUUUCUUGAUUUUGUGGGUGGUGGUGCAUGGCCGUUCUUAGUUGGUGGGGUGACUUGUCUGCUUAAUUGCGAUAACGAACGAGACCUUAACUGCUAAAUAGCCCGCAUUGCUCGGCAGGUGCGCUGGCUUCUUAGGAGGGACUUUCGGCUCAAGCCGGAAGGAAGGUUUGAGGCAUUAC